This 492-nucleotide ribosomal RNA is filed under the name uncultured bacterium. RNAcentral's name for it is "partial 16S ribosomal RNA". It matches the Rfam family "Bacterial small subunit ribosomal RNA", at positions 30 to 507 of the family's 1533-position model. The record is from RNAcentral.
AGUGAACGCUGGCGGUAGGCCUAACACAUGCAAGUCGAACGGCAGCACAGUAAGAGCUUGCUCUUACGGGUGGCGAGUGGCGGACGGGUGAGGAAUACAUCGGAAUCUACUUUUUCGUGGGGGAUAACGUAGGGAAACUUACGCUAAUACCGCAUACGACCUACGGGUGAAAGCAGGGGAUCUUCGGACCUUGCGCGAUUGAAUGAGCCGAUGUCGGAUUAGCUAGUUGGCGGGGUAAAGGCCCACCAAGGCGACGAUCCGUAGCUGGUCUGAGAGGAUGAGGAGCCACACGGGGACUGAGGCAGGGCGCAGACUCCGACGGGAGGAAGGAGGGGGGAAGUUGGGACAAGGGGGGAAAGAAGGAAGGAGCAGUGCCGGGGGGGUGAUGAAGGCAUUAGGGUUGUAAAGAGCUGUUGGGGGGCAAGAAAAGAAGCGUGCGAAUACCGCGGUGGGAUGACGGGACCGGAAGAGUAAGAAACGGCUAACUACGUG